ACACUCCUGCGGGAGGCAGCAGUGGGGAAUUUUGGACAAUGGGCGAAAGCCUGAUCCAGCAAUGCCGCGUGCAGGAUGAAGGCCUUCGGGUUGUAAACUGCUUUUGUACGGAACGAAAAAGCUCCUUCUAAUACAGGGGGCCCAUGACGGUACCGUAAGAAUAAGCACCGGCUAACUACGUGCCAGCAGCCGCGGUAAUACGUAGGGUGCGAGCGUUAAUCGGAAUUACUGGGCGUAAAGCGUGCGCAGGCGGUUAUGUAAGACAGAUGUGAAAUCCCCGGGCUCAACCUGGGAACUGCAGUUGUGACUGCAUGGCUAGAGUACGGUAGAGGAGGGUGGAAUUCCGCGUGUAGCAGUGAAAUGCGUAGAUAUGCGGAGGAACACCGGUGGCGAAGGCAAUCCCCUGGACCUGUACUGACGCUCAUGCACGAAAGCGUGGGGAGCAAACAGGAUUAGAAACCCCUGUAGUCCCAU
RNAcentral lists this ribosomal RNA (474 nucleotides) under uncultured organism. RNAcentral describes it as "partial 16S ribosomal RNA". It matches the Rfam family "Bacterial small subunit ribosomal RNA", at positions 333 to 798 of the family's 1533-position model. The record is from RNAcentral.